This 500-nucleotide ribosomal RNA is filed under the name uncultured bacterium. Its description in RNAcentral is "partial 16S ribosomal RNA". It matches the Rfam family "Bacterial small subunit ribosomal RNA", at positions 30 to 523 of the family's 1533-position model. The record is from RNAcentral.
AUUGAACGCUGGCGGCUUGCUUUACACAUGCAAGUCGAACGGUAACAGGGUGCUUGCACCGCUGACGAGUGGCGAACGGGUGAGUAAUGCGUCGGAACGUGCCGAGUAGUGGGGGAUAACGCAGCGAAAGUUGUGCUAAUACCGCAUACGUACUGAGGUAGAAAGUGGGGGACCUUCGGGCCUCACGCUAUUCGAGCGGCCGACGUCUGAUUAGCUAGUAGGUGAGGUAAAGGCUCACCUAGGCGACGAUCAGUAGCGGGUCUGAGAGGAUGAUCCGCCAGACUGGGACUGAGACACGGCCCAGACUCCUACGGGAGGCAGCAGUGGGGAAUUUUGGACAAUGGGCGAAAGCCUGAUCCAGCCAUGCCGCGUGUCUGAAGAAGGCCUUCGGGUUGUAAAGGGCUUUUGUCAGGGAGGAAAUCCCUAGUGCUAAUAACACUGGGGGAUGACAGUACCUGAAGAAUAAGCACCGGCUAACUACGUGCCAGCCGCCGCCGUAA